Malaclemys terrapin pileata is the source of this 335-nucleotide long non-coding RNA. RefSeq lists it as uncharacterized. NCBI's taxonomy places the organism in Eukaryota, Metazoa, Chordata, Testudines, Emydidae. The record is from RefSeq and is a predicted model, not a curated record. The transcript has 3 exons.
UGGGACAUUAACAGCAUCCCCCUAGAGACCUGUUAGAGAGGAAACCUGGUCCUGCAAACUCUAAGAGACCCACGAAGGAAGGACUGAUCUACCUCUACUUGUAAAAUGCCCAUGUCUUACUCUCAAGAAACACAAGGUAAAAAUGGAAGCAGCUGAUUGCAAUUACUUAGAGCAGAUGAUUCCACUUUGUAAAAUAUUGCUUUUGUUCUAGCCACGGAAUAUUGCAUGUAUACAUUAUAAUUUCUAUUCUUUUCUCGGUUCUGAUUGCCUGAAAUGCAUUAUAUGUCCUACAACAAUUUUGCACUCAUGGAAAUGAAAUAGUACUUCAUCUCUGC